RNAcentral lists this ribosomal RNA (326 nucleotides) under uncultured eukaryote. RNAcentral describes it as "partial 18S ribosomal RNA". It matches the Rfam family "Eukaryotic small subunit ribosomal RNA", at positions 1470 to 1796 of the family's 1831-position model. The record is from RNAcentral.
CCCUUAGAUGUCCGGGGCCGCACGCGCGCUACACUGAAGGAAUCAGCGUGGCUUUCUCCCUGACCCGAAAGGGUUGGGAAACCCGUUGAAUCUCCUUCGUGAUAGGGAUUGGGGCUUGAAAUUGUUCCCCAUGAACGAGGAAUUCCCAGUAAGCGCGAGUCAUAAGCUCGCGUUGAUUACGUCCCUGCCCUUUGUACACACCGCCCGUCGCUCCUACCGAUUGAAUGCUCAGGUGAGUCAUUCGGACUUUCAUCAUGCUGGUUUCCAGUUUUGAUGAAGGAAAGUCUUGCGAACCUUAUCAUUUAGAGGAAGGAGAAGUCGUAACA